RNAcentral lists this ribosomal RNA (440 nucleotides) under uncultured bacterium. RNAcentral's name for it is "partial 16S ribosomal RNA". It matches the Rfam family "Bacterial small subunit ribosomal RNA", at positions 338 to 795 of the family's 1533-position model. The record is from RNAcentral.
CCUAUGGGUGGCAGCAGUGAGGGAUAUUGGUCAAUGGGGGAAACCCUGAACCAGCAACGCCGCGUGAGGGAAGACGGUUUUCGGAUUGUAAACCUCUGUCCUCUGUGAAGAUAAUGACGGUAGCAGAGGAGGAAGCUCCGGCUAACUACGUGCCAGCAGCCGCGGUAAUACGUAGGGAGCGAGCGUUGUCCGGAUUUACUGGGUGUAAAGGGUGCGUAGGCGGCCCUGCAAGUCAGAAGUGAAAUCCAUGGGCUUAACCCGUGAACUGCUUUUGAAACUGCAGGACUUGAGUGGAGUAGAGGUAGGCGGAAUUCCCGGUGUAGCGGUGAAAUGCGUAGAGAUCGGGAGGAACACCAGUGGCGAAGGCGGCCUACUGGGCUUUAACUGACGCUGAAGCACGAAAGCGUGGGUAGCAAACAGGAUUAGAUACCCCAGUAGUC